RNAcentral lists this ribosomal RNA (481 nucleotides) under Cryptosporidium parvum. RNAcentral describes it as "SSU rRNA". It matches the Rfam family "Eukaryotic small subunit ribosomal RNA", at positions 563 to 1070 of the family's 1831-position model. Lineage: Eukaryota; Apicomplexa; Conoidasida; Eucoccidiorida; Cryptosporidiidae. The record is from RNAcentral.
GGUGCCAGCAGCCGCGGUAAUUCCAGCUCCAAUAGCGUAUAUUAAAGUUGUUGCAGUUAAAAAGCUCGUAGUUGGAUUUCUGUUAAUAAUUUAUAUAAAAUAUUUUGAUGAAUAUUUAUAUAAUAUUAACAUAAUUCAUAUUACUAUAUAUUUUAGUAUAUGAAAUUUUACUUUGAGAAAAUUAGAGUGCUUAAAGCAGGCAUAUGCCUUGAAUACUCCAGCAUGGAAUAAUAUUAAAGAUUUUUAUCUUUCUUAUUGGUUCUAAGAUAAGAAUAAUGAUUAAUAGGGACAGUUGGGGGCAUUUGUAUUUAACAGUCAGAGGUGAAAUUCUUAGAUUUGUUAAAGACAAACUAAUGCGAAAGCAUUUGCCAAGGAUGUUUUCAUUAAUCAAGAACGAAAGUUAGGGGAUCGAAGACGAUCAGAUACCGUCGUAGUCUUAACCAUAAACUAUGCCAACUAGAGAUUGGAGGUUGUUCCUUAC